This 433-nucleotide ribosomal RNA is filed under the name uncultured bacterium. RNAcentral's name for it is "partial 16S ribosomal RNA". It matches the Rfam family "Bacterial small subunit ribosomal RNA", at positions 29 to 507 of the family's 1533-position model. The record is from RNAcentral.
GCGAACGCUGGCGGCAGGCCUAACACAUGCAAGUCGAACGCACCUUUCGGGGUUAGUGGCGGACGGGUGAGUCACACGUGGGAACGUGCCUUUAGGUUCGGAAUAACUCAGGGAAACUUGUGCUAAUACCGAAUGUGCCCUUCGGGGGAAAGAUUAAUCGCCUUUAGAGCGGCCCGCGUCUGAUUAGCUAGUUGGUUGAGGUAAUGGCUCACCAAGGCGACGAUCAGUAGCUGGUCUGAGAGGAUGAUCAGCCACAUUGGGACUGAGACACGGCCCAAACUCCUACGGGAGGCAGCAGUGGGGAAUCUUGCGCAAUGGGCGAAAGCCUGACGCAGCCAUGCCGCGUGAAUGAUGAAGGUCUUAGGAUUGUAAAAUUCUUUCAACGGGGACGAUAAUGACGGUACCCGGAGAAGAAGCCCCGGCUAACUUCGUG